This 557-nucleotide long non-coding RNA is filed under the name Vombatus ursinus (common wombat). RNAcentral's name for it is "lncRNA (ENSVURG00010012248.1)". Lineage: Eukaryota; Metazoa; Chordata; Mammalia; Diprotodontia; Vombatidae. The record is from RNAcentral.
UUCAAUAAGUACCACACAAAGGCAGAGGAACUUGGGAUCUUGACACCAUUCACUACUUUGGCCAACAACUUCUUUGCCAUCCUGAAGAAACUUCAGCGUUGUAAGGAAAGAGGGAUGUUUUCUUUAAGCGAGAGUUCCCAAAGGAAGUUUCAGCUAUUCCAGCAAGAAUUUACAAAGUUGAACCCAGAAGUGAGGCUGACAAAGGCCUUGGGAGAAGUGGACAUUCUCUUAGCCUGGAUGGAGAAAGCCUUUCGGCCAUGAUGCUGCAGCCCACCUGCUAUCCAAAAUUCCCCACCAUUUCAAUCAUGUGCCACGUCCUGUGACUUUUCUAUGUGUCAUUUCUUCCUGCCAGCGAUGUUGCUCUGUGCUGAGGCUGCUCCCAGCCUCUCUACAUUCCCUUUUUAGUAGUCACAAUUCAGCCACUCUACUCAGGGAGGCUACACUAAGUUGCUGUGAAUAAUUCUCAAAGCGGAUGACAAAAUGCUGGCUAGUUGUAAACUGUAUUUAUUCCAAAUGUAUUUAAUAAUUUAUUUUUAUUUAUAUGGAGUGACUAUAUG